AUAUUGAGUGGUGUGCGAUACUCAAGAUUUCUUCUCGUAACUCCUUUCCUACAGGUACGGUUAUCCUUCCGUUCAGUAGGAGGGUUCUUUCAUCACCCAAAUGAUAACCACUAUCAUAUCUUCCGCAUGAUUCUUCAAGUUCUUUUAUAAUCUUCUUUAGCUUCACAUCUUCCUUCUGCUCUUCUAGAAUUCUUUGCAGGAGGUUUGCUUGAUUCACUGCUC
RNAcentral lists this long non-coding RNA (222 nucleotides) under Brassica napus (rape). Its description in RNAcentral is "long non-coding RNA (BNAP_LNC001785)". Lineage: Eukaryota; Viridiplantae; Streptophyta; Magnoliopsida; Brassicales; Brassicaceae. The record is from RNAcentral.